Marmota flaviventris (yellow-bellied marmot) is the source of this 2711-nucleotide long non-coding RNA. RefSeq lists it as uncharacterized. The record is from RefSeq and is a predicted model, not a curated record. NCBI's taxonomy places the organism in Eukaryota, Metazoa, Chordata, Mammalia, Rodentia, Sciuridae.
GUUGGGAUCUGUCCCCAGGAAGGCCUGUUACUAGAAAAGGAGGGAUAAUUAGGGAGUGGCCACCAAAGGGAGACCGUGAACCGCCCCUGGUUGGCUUCUUGGGCGGGGUGGGGAGGGACUUUUUUUCCGGUGUCAGUGGAGGAAUCGUCCCGUUGAGUAGUGUCUUGUGACGCGACCCGGGACUAUAAAAGCAAAAGUUGUGGCCCAUCCAGCAGGAGUUAGCGACAGGCAGGGCUGGCGCCUGGGUGUAGUGGUGGGGCGGAAGUGACCAGUUCAGGGUCUCAGGGGACACAGGCAGGAGAUGGCAGAGCUAGAGGGGGUGGGGGUGCGUGGGGAAGGAGGGCUGAAAAGGAGCUUAGAUGUGGGGGGCUCUGCAGCGCGAAGGCCCACAGCACCCCGCGAGGCCGCAGCAGCUCUCGGGCCUCGCUGUCCCUUCCUCUACUGCUGCUGGAGCGGGGAUUUGACUUCCAGGAGGCCGAGGUCCUUCCAUGGGCCUAGCUGGCCCUGGUGGCCUGGUUAACGUGGAGGAGGAAGGCAGGCUGAGGCGGGAAGAGGUGGAGACUGGCCUAGGCAGUGGUCGUUGGCAGGCAGGGUCGCAGGCCCGCAGCUGGGCGGGGAGGGCCGACUUUGAAACUUGUCAAUACCAGCAGCCCCGUUUUUUUCCAGACAAAGGGUUGUGAACCUGCCUGGGGAUGAAGCCUGGUCUUAAGGAAACUGGACUUGGCUUCGCGGGCCUGACAGCUCUGGCCCAGGGUGGUGGCAGUACCCUCCCCUCUGGACUUCCCUAGGUUCGAUGCUAAACUCUUCUGUGAGCUCACUCUACCCCUCCUCCUCCCUCUAACUCUCUUGAGGUUAUCCCUUCACUUAAAACCUUGCCUCUGGUCAUCUGGUAAGCCUGGUGAAGUCGCAGGAGUGUUCUUGGACUCGGUAUUGUUGGUAAUGGUGCAGAAGGAAAGGCCUUCCCGGUGGAGCCUCUGGGGGGUGGGUUGGUGUUGCUUUUGGAGAGGGUGGGGAUUGAAUGUGCUCCCCUGGGUGGGGCUGCAGCAGUGGUUCCAGCAGAAGUCACCCAAUGCCUCAUGGACCUGGUUUGUUACUGUAGUGUUCAUCAUGGCGAGCAGAUGGCACCAGGACAAAUGGAGCCCCAGCCAGUGUGAGUCGUAGCAGUGCAGGAGGGGAGACCCUGAAGGAGACAGCCCGCUUAAGUUGAUGCCUGCAGAUUGAAUUCCAGAGGCUUAGGAGGAGGAGCAGUUCUCCAGUGUCUUGUGUCCAGGCCUUGCUCGGGAUCCCUGUAUUCAGGAGGCCAACCGUUAAGGUUUUCAGAUGAGCUUGUGGGGGGCAGUUCACAAGUCCAAAGCAGAUGCAUCGGCUUGAGGGGCCAUCACCUUUGAAUGUUUCAGCAGCACCAUCCUCCAGGCACAGGAAUGCCAGCAGGCACCCCUCUUGUCCUGGGGGUGGUUUUCAGAUGCUGCAUCUUCUAAAUUGAGCCUCUGGUCCUUCUAGUUCUGUGCUGUGAACUUUGCUUCCAGAAGAUUCUUAAGUUAUAGAACAUUUUAAAGUUGAUCCAACAACCAGCCUGAUGCCUUUUAGAUGGCACUUGGAGAUGGAGCCCAGGGACCUCUCACCUACCCACCUGCUUACCUGCCUUCCUGUCUGCACAUUGGCCGGAGGAAUUCUUAGUGUGAUGAUAAAGCUUUUGAUUGUUGGGCGGGGCAGGGAGCUGUUCAAUUUUAAAUGCUUUAGGCAGAGGGAAUUUGUUAGCUAGGUAGAUUGUCAAUCUGUGGGGGCUCAUGUGUUGAGCUAAAGUGGGAGGGGACAAGCCGGUCAUGCCCAGGAGCUGUGUGUUGGUGGGGGGGUCUUGUCUGGGCAUUCUAAUGGCAUAGAACCUUACAAGAAGGGAAUGGUGGGCCCACCAGUAGUGGGUGGGUCAUGGGUGUUUUGUUUUCUGGUGCUGCAGAUUGAACAGGGCCUUGGGCAUUUUAGGCAAAUGCUCAGCCAUUGAGCUACAACCCCAGCCCAGUUAUUUGAUUCUCCUCCCCACUUUUUUUUUAUACAUCUCAGAGUAUUCUUGUCAUUCCCACUGGGGGCUCUGGGGGAGGGACAGGGGGGCAAGGGCUGGUGGGGAUGCAGUGCUGGGAGCAUGAGGGUGUGGGAUGUGGGUUGAGAGAAAGUAUGGGCAGAGAUCUGAGGAAUUUCAUAGAAUUUGUGAGUGAAGAAAACACUAGUUAAUGGUAAAUUAUUGGUUAAAUGGUUGCAUAUAAGCAGUGAAAGUUGCUUGGAAAUUUUUAUAAAAGUGCUUAGAACUUCAAGGAAAGUUCAAGAAAAAAAGCAAAAUUGUUUUGCUUUGCUCUAAAGUGGGGAAGACUGAGAAGGUAUAACUGAAAACAAGAAUAUUUAGUUACUUGAAAAAUGACAUGGAACUUGGUGUCAAAACUAUGAGUUUUAAACUCAAGUAUGCACUUAAGAUGAGAUUAAUAUGGACUUUUCUGGGUUUGUAAUUCAUAUUUUGUCAUGGAGAUCUCAGUGAUUCAAAAUUCUGAACAAAAUGGAAAUGCUUUUGGAGAGGGUGGGGAUUGAAUGUGCUCCCCUGGGUGGGGCUGCAGCAGUGGUUCCAGAAGAAGUCACCCAAUGCCUCAUUGACGUGAAUUGUUACUGUAGUGAGACAAAUGGAAAUGCUUUUGGAGAGGGUGGAGAUUAAAUGAUUUUUAAAGGAA